UACUGGACCCUGAAGAGUACAACUAAUUUGAAGCCCUGCUUCUGCAGACUAGAGACUUCAACCAACCGUCUGCCAAGAUAACAGGGGGCUCAGAAACCAAAGAAGUUAUAGCUACUGUUUGAAGACAGCUCUUUUCCAUGUGAUGAUUCAGAAACUCAGGCGCCUUCCAGCUUGUGGCUGUACUAUCCCCAAGGGUCCAGGACCUCAUCAUUAUUCUUCCCUUCCAGACACAACUGUCCAUUGGCACCCUUCAUCCCACACAGAGAGCCUACACCCACGUCCUCCUUAAGGAAAAUAACCCAGAGCUCCAUUCAGUCUCUACAACCACUUGAAAUUCUGGGACUCUGGAGAACACAACGUCUCCUCAAUCAGAUCUACAUGUGGCUCCUGAUGGUCCAACAAUUAUUAACUAAAAGACCCAGUUAUUUGCUCCUCCAAUCUGCAUCUGCUAUGCCAUGGAGGAACAGGGACUUGAGAACUGCAAUAAAACUCUCAUUCAGAAAAAGGGAGAAUGGGAAAGAGUCCUUGGUUAAUAGCACAAUGGAAUCUUGCUAGGUGGGCAGUGUGAAGGCCCUUUGCCAGGUAAGAGGGGAUAAACGACUUGCUUAGUCCUUUAAUCUGCUCUCUGGGAGGGUUUCAUUAUCUAUUUUUCUCUAAGGCCCCUUGCUCCAUCCUUUUGGAUAUCCUUCCUUGUCCAUUAUCCUUUUGGGCCACUUCCGAAGUAUACUCCUGAAAGACUGUACAGCCUUCCUAGCCCACUUUCUUCUCAGGCAAAUUUAGAAACAAAGGGCAAGCUUGACCAAUCAAAGAUGAUUUCAUCCCAGCUUGUGACUCCUUAGUAAUACAACUCCCUACAAAACUUAGUAAUCUUCUGAUUUAUUUGCUUCC
Molecule: long non-coding RNA, 888 nt
Organism: Neofelis nebulosa (Clouded leopard)
Lineage: Eukaryota; Metazoa; Chordata; Mammalia; Carnivora; Felidae
Exons: 3
Source: RefSeq, a predicted model, not a curated record